Molecule: ribosomal RNA, 451 nt
Filed under: Staphylococcus pseudintermedius
Lineage: Bacteria; Bacillati; Bacillota; Bacilli; Caryophanales; Staphylococcaceae
Description: partial 23S ribosomal RNA
Rfam family: Bacterial large subunit ribosomal RNA
Source: RNAcentral
CGAAAACGAAUUCUCUCUUGAGUGGAUCCUGAGUACGACGGAGCACGUGAAAUUCCGUCGGAAUCUGGGAGGACCAUCUCCUAAGGCUAAAUACUCUCUAGUGACCGAUAGUGAACCAGUACCGUGAGGGAAAGGUGAAAAGUACCCCGGAAGGGGAGUGAAAGAGAACUUGAAACCGUGUGCUUACAAGUAGUCAGAGCCCGUUAAUGGGUGAUGGCGUGCCUUUUGUAGAAUGAACCGGCGAGUUACGAUCUGAUGCAAGGUUAAGCAGAAAAUGUGGAGCCGUAGCGAAAGCGAGUCUGAAUAGGGCGAAUGAGUAUUUGGUCGUAGACCCGAAACCAGGUGAUCUACCCUUGGUCAGGUUGAAGUUCAGGUAACACUGAAUGGAGGACCGAACCGACUUACGUUGAAAAGUGAGCGGAUGAACUGAGGGUAGCGGAGAAAUUCCAAU